This 94-nucleotide ribosomal RNA is filed under the name uncultured bacterium. Its description in RNAcentral is "partial 16S ribosomal RNA". It matches the Rfam family "Bacterial small subunit ribosomal RNA", at positions 397 to 508 of the family's 1533-position model. The record is from RNAcentral.
CCGCGUGCAGGAUGAAGGCCCUCGGGUCGUAAACUGCUUUUAUAAGUGAAGAAUAUGACGGUAACUUAUGAAUAAGCACCGGCUAACUACGUGC